RNAcentral lists this long non-coding RNA (592 nucleotides) under Vulpes vulpes (red fox). RNAcentral's name for it is "lncRNA (ENSVVUG00000013749.1)". The record is from RNAcentral. Lineage: Eukaryota; Metazoa; Chordata; Mammalia; Carnivora; Canidae.
AUGGAGGCAAUCUCCACAUCUGGUCUUAGAUUGACAGAACUGAAUCUCUACGACAUAACGUUGUCAUGUGGAUCACAUGGGCCUCCAGCCCUCCCAGGUUUAGGCUGCAGACAAGUAGUUAAUGAACAGGUCAAGUGCCUGGAGCACCCUUCUAAGACUGCAUUCAGUCAUUACCAAGGCUCCAAGAAGGCAGGACAUGCCACCUGUAUGUCCUGAAUCAUCUGCUGUGAUGCUUAGUAUGUAGCAAAAACUCAAAUAUUUGAUAAAUCAAUGAACAAAAACAAUCACUGAGCAAUUAUUAGGCCCAAGUCUAUGAUCCCCAAGCUGAUACUUCGAUUUUAUGAAGUCAAUUCAAAAUUCUUAGCUGCCAUGAGGAAAUUUGAGUAAUGUCUCUUGGUGAGUCACUAUCCCUUCUUCCAUUUCUCUCUGUUUAAAAGUGGCUUCUCGGGAUCCUUGGGUGGCGCAGCAGUUUGGCGCCUGCCUUUGGCCCAGGGCGCGAUCCUGGAGACCCGGGAUUGAAUCCCACGUCGGGUUCCCGGUGCAUGGAGCCUGCUUCUCCCUCUGCCUGUGUCUCUGCCUCUCUCCCUCUCUC